CAUGCGAGGUACUUGUAGCAAUACAAACCGUACUGCUCAGUAACACGUAGUUAACCUAACCUUAGGAUGGGGAUAAUCCUGGGAAACUGGGCGUAAUACCCAAUAGGCGAUAAAGGCUGGAAAGCAUCUUCGCUUAAAGCAGCAAUGUGCCUAAGGAUGGGACUGUGGCGGAUUAGUUUGUUGUUGAGAUAAUUGCUCAACAAGACUAUAAUCUGUACGGGUCGUGAGAGCGAUAGCCCGGAGAUGGCUUCUGAGACAUGAAGCCAGGCCCUACGGGGCGCAGCAGGCGCGAAAACUUCGCAAUGCCCGGAAGGGCGACGAGGGAAAUCUGAGUGAUAUCGCACUGCGAUAUCUUUUGUACACUGUAAAUAGGUGUAUGAAUAAGGGGUGGGUAAGACGGUUGCCAGCCGCCGCGGUAAUAACCGCGCCCCGAGUGGUAGUCACGUUUAUUGGGCCUAAAGCGUCCGUAGCUGGUUUGAUAAGUCUUUGGUGAAAUCCAUCAGUAAACUGAUGGGAUGGCUGGAGAUACUACCAAACUCGAGACCGGGAGAGGCUAGGGGUAUUCGGCAGGUAAGAGUAAAAUCUUUUAAUCUGCGGAGGACCACCUGUGGCGAAGGCGCCUAGCUGGAACGGGUCUGACAGUGAGGGACGAAAGCGUGGGGAGCGACCGGGAUUAGAUACCCCGUUAGUCCACGCCGUAAACGAUGCCCACUUGGUGUCGCACAAUCUUCGUGAUUCUGCGGUGCCGUAGCGAAGGUGUUAAGUGGGCCGCCUGGGGAGUAUGGUCGCAAGAUUGAAACUUAAGGGAAUUGGCGGGGGGAGCACUACCAGGGGUGGAGGCUGCGGUUUAAUUGCAUUCAACGCCGGAA
RNAcentral lists this ribosomal RNA (869 nucleotides) under uncultured archaeon. Its description in RNAcentral is "bacterial SSU rRNA". It matches the Rfam family "Archaeal small subunit ribosomal RNA", at positions 50 to 923 of the family's 1478-position model. The record is from RNAcentral.